CCUUUGGUAGCUCAGUUGGUAGAGCGGAGGACUGUAGAUCCUUAGGUCGCUGGUUCAAAUCCUGCUCGAAGAA
Molecule: transfer RNA, 73 nt
Filed under: Merluccius polli (Benguela hake)
Lineage: Eukaryota; Metazoa; Chordata; Actinopteri; Gadiformes; Merlucciidae
Description: tRNA-Tyr
Rfam family: tRNA
About the family: Transfer RNA (tRNA) molecules are approximately 80 nucleotides in length. Their secondary structure includes four short double-helical elements and three loops (D, anti-codon, and T loops). Further hydrogen bonds mediate the characteristic L-shaped molecular structure. tRNAs have two regions of fundamental functional importance: the anti-codon, which is responsible for specific mRNA codon recognition, and the 3' end, to which the tRNAs corresponding amino acid is attached (by aminoacyl-tRNA synthetases). tRNAs cope with the degeneracy of the genetic code in two manners: having more than one tRNA (with a specific anti-codon) for a particular amino acid; and 'wobble' base-pairing, i.e. permitting non-standard base-pairing at the 3rd anti-codon position.
Source: RNAcentral